UGUUCUUGAAUGCAAAAGACGAAGUCACACAAGGGGGGUAACUUCCCAAGAAAAGCACACCCCUUAAAUUAUUUGCACCCAUUCCUGUUGCCCACUUUGGGGAAACUGCCGGUGUCACACCGGAGAAAGGUGGGGUGGAGUUUAAAUUAUCAUCCCCUUUAUGUCUUGGGCUUCACCCGUGCUCAAAUGGCAUAUACAACGGGUCCCCAACCCGGGAGGGUGCGCUAAUUUUUUAAAGUAUGUCUCAGUUGGGAUUUUGGGUUGCAAGUUAUUAUACAGGAAGUGGGAAUCGUUUUGUAAUCGUAGAUCACCACUUAGCGGGGAUGACGUCCCGGGUCUUCACUCUCCUCAGAUAAAACCAAAUGAGUUCAAGCUCCCAAAUCAGUUCGGGUACCUCUUACGACUUGCANNCNNCCCUUGGUNNNNNUNU
Molecule: ribosomal RNA, 430 nt
Filed under: Weissella sp. MS1
Lineage: Bacteria; Bacillati; Bacillota; Bacilli; Lactobacillales; Lactobacillaceae
Description: partial 16S ribosomal RNA
Rfam family: Bacterial small subunit ribosomal RNA (bases 1-340)
Source: RNAcentral